Molecule: non-coding RNA, 2737 nt
Organism: Misgurnus anguillicaudatus (oriental weatherfish)
Lineage: Eukaryota; Metazoa; Chordata; Actinopteri; Cypriniformes; Cobitidae
Source: RefSeq, a predicted model, not a curated record
GCCGCCGUGAAUUCUUUAGCUAAACGGCCCUAAACCGAAUCCCAUUCAUUUUCAAUGGUAGUGCUAAAACACUACGGAUGCAAUAUAUUUUCGGCCACUGGCGCUCUCGCGGCGCACUUCCGUGUUUUGCAUAGCCGGGAAAUUUGAGUCAUUUUAACUUCCUCGUUGGAAAGACAACUCUGCAAUCCUGCUUUACUUCUCAAAGGUCAUCAUGCACAAAAAGGUAGUUUUCUCCCAGAAAGGGCUAAAGUUGCAUUCUGUAAGGCACUACUGGGUUAUCUUCUUCAGGAACCAACUGACCAGGCCAGGGUUAUCAAAAACAACCCGUCUCUGAAGGACAAAUCAGCACCAAUAAAGGAGGAGCUUGUUAGACAAAAUGCUUUGACUGUGGUACUUCAAGGAGGAGGUGAUGCAUCAGACAAAAAAUAAGUAUUUGGUGAAUACAUUCUGCAGUUUGGCAAACGCAACACAGAAUUAUAAGCUGCAGCAAUACCUACUGAGACAGCAGCAACAGUCAGGUGACUGUUCAUCUGUGGUUACCCACAGAAAUGGAUGAAGACACAGAGUUUGAGUGUUCAAUGCUGAGCAUCACCCCCUCUAAACUACAGGUACCAUUAUCAUCAUCCUCAACAACUGAAGUGAGAUGCUCUAUGGAAAAAGGAAAAGGGUUUCGUUUUGGCCAUGUUUCAUUAACAAUAGUGUGUGUGCCGUUGGCAUUAUACUAACAGUUCAGGAGGCUGUAGAUUGAUUUCAUCCCUAUCAUGAAUUGAUACAAACCCUGUUCAGGAACCUCCUGCUUUCCUAUCAAAGCCUUGUGAUGACACUAAAAAGUCACCAGUCUAUGAGCUGAUGUUUCUUGAGUAAGAACCAUCACCUUUCACACAAUCAAAGAAAAGUGUUUCAGCUACAGGAGAGCACAGCGUUGUAGACAACUUUCUUGCACGCAGGACACUUACUUUUGAGGACUGUGGCAAAAACGUUUUUAGAAACUCUCUCAUCUUCAGGAACCACAUCACGUAGUGUCCCACAAACAGCAGAGGCAUCACAUGAUCCAUGAUCCUCUGCUUCUGGUUCUUCUGUGCACAGCCCACCAUCUCUGCAUUAGAAAGUUCAAAACACAUGAACCCUUUCUAAAGCUUCUCCACAUCUUCCUGACUAUGAUCAUGAUGUGCUUCACUGGAAUUGUUCUCAUCAGCAGAGGACCUGGAUGAAAACAUAGCUGGAAUAAAUGGGUCUAUGGCCAGGCUCCACUCCUGUGAGCAACCCUAUGAAGACCGUGUCACUGUGGCGUUUACCUCCUCAGCCAGAGCUGAUAGACACAGCCAUGUACCAGGGCCUAGCAAACCAGUACAAAAUUGCAGAUGUGGAGAAGGCACAGUACCAGUGUGUAGACAGGUGAGGUGUUUUAGGCUCAAUGGAUCACUGGCACACGUGUUUCCUCGGAGCUGUUUCAAACACAGGGGAUGAUUGGAGUGGCCCGCUGAAACGUCUGGUGGACCUAAAACCAUUGGGUGUUAAUCUCCCUGGUGUGUUUGACUCAUCUCUUAUUGCAGACAUCAAUACCGUGUCUAGAGAGGGUGUUAGGCAUGCCUAAGUAUCCUGCUCUUCAGGUAUCCAACAAAGAUUCUCAGGAGAGGUUUGAGUUUGUUGAACCUGGAUGUCGUCCUGUUGUGCUUUAUUGGAGAAAGCACAGGAGAAAGACAGAUCUGCCUUUGCAUCCAGCUAAGCGUAGCCCAAGCCCACUGCCCAGGCUGGAGACCUUUCUGCUGAUCUUGUUGUGCCAUCAAGUCAUGAUGAGCCAGGGUCAGGAUUACCACCAUUGAUGUGCCCUUGCUGUCCUCAUAUCAUUGUGCUGAUGUAGAGCUGCAGUCAAAACCAGGUUGUUGAUGAAAGUGCUAUUAUUCUUGUUGAAUCCAUUGACGUGCUGCCUGUGCCAUCGGUGUCAUUGCCUUAAAGUGCCUGCAUAAAGCCUCAGACAGAGAUAGAAACCACACAUAUUCCCCUGCUGCCCGUAGUGGCCUCACCUGCAAAGGCCCGUACCGGACUAGUGAAGACUGGUGGGAGGGUGUUUGUUCUAGACCACAAACGAUGGACAUCCCCAAUGAAGGAGGCCAUUGACAAAUUGCUUAACAAACAUCAUGAGAAGAAGGACAUCCUUAAGCUUGUGGAUCAGCAGUAUGCAGCAAUGGUUCAAAACUCCUGCACUGAUCCAAACACCAUGCUCCAUCUAAAAACUAAACUACACAUUUCACAAUAUAUUAAGCACUAAGCCAAACUGCUGAACACCAGUUCUUUUUUAAACACCAGUGAUGAGAAACUUAAUCAGAGACAGCACCUCUGACACUCCCUGACAGAGGGGAGUGAGACCACCAGUGUGCCAGUGGUAACAAUGAACUCUGCCAUUCCAAACCCACCUGCACCUGCUCUGACCACACCAAUUACUCAAGAGACCAUCGAGAAAGUAGUUGAGGGUAUUAUGGAGAGGAAUCAACAACAACAACAGCCAGAGCAGAAGAAAAAGCAGACAAAGAUGUGUCUUGCCUGUGGACAGCCAAAGUCUCACUAUGAUAGAGAUGGCUUCUCUAUUAAUUUUUUUAUCAGCAAGCCCCUGUUGGGUAUUUUUACUGCUCUACAAAGGUGUUUAAAGCUUAUAGCAUUGAGUGACUAACAAUGAGUAACAUUCCCUUGGCAAGACAUUUUGCUUGUGUGUGUACUUUUAUUGAAAGGGUUAAUAAAA